UUCUUGCCCCCUCUCCUGUCUCAGGUAGAAGAAACAACAAAAAACAAUUAAUCUGAAUGGUAUUAAAAAUAUGAACAAAAAAGGACCACUCCUCUCAGCCUUCUCAGCAAAUAGCAUGUUCACAUGGAAGUUUCCAGAAAUUUCUUGCCCCCUCUCCUGUCUCAGGUAGAAGAAACAACAGAAAACAAUUAACAUGAAUGGUAUUAAAAAUAUGAAAAAAAAGGACCAGAACUGACUUCUUCUUGUCGAUGUCUGCGAUAUCACUCCUCCCAGCCUUUUCAGCAAAUAGUCUGUUCACAUGGAAGUUUUUUGAAUGACCGCAUCAUACAAAAGGAAGCAAACUAAAAUGAGCCAUCUCUCCUUUUUGAACAAAAAGAGAAUAAUCUUGUAACAAAUCUAUCAGGAUACUUCUCUUUGAUGUGUUUGGCCUCAGCCUGCCACCUUUCUGUAACACAUAGCACAAACAAUGCUCCAUUGACCCCGGAGAUGUUAGAGGGCUCCGCGGAGUCAACACUUGUUGCCGCGGUGACCUUUUUCCUGUUUUUCCUUUAGCUUGUAAUUAUGAACUUCUGUUCUAAUUGAAUGGCAAUCGACUGACUUUUCUUAAAAAAAAAUUGCACAAAUAAUCACAAGAAGAAAACAAAUGCAGAACUGCGAUACCAACUGACCCGCGAAACAAUCUCUGCCCAAGCAGUGACACCAGCGCAUCCACGGGCGGAGCGCCACCCGAAUAGACGGACCUGGCCAGGCGCCACCACCGGCAGCCCACAACCAAAACCA
Molecule: long non-coding RNA, 780 nt
Filed under: Brachypodium distachyon (stiff brome)
Lineage: Eukaryota; Viridiplantae; Streptophyta; Magnoliopsida; Poales; Poaceae
Description: long non-coding RNA (BDIS_LNC003528)
Source: RNAcentral